RNAcentral lists this ribosomal RNA (484 nucleotides) under Pseudomonas sp. Cd3. RNAcentral's name for it is "bacterial SSU rRNA". It matches the Rfam family "Bacterial small subunit ribosomal RNA", at positions 117 to 597 of the family's 1533-position model. Lineage: Bacteria; Pseudomonadati; Pseudomonadota; Gammaproteobacteria; Pseudomonadales; Pseudomonadaceae. The record is from RNAcentral.
CUAGGAAUCUGCCUGGUAGUGGGGGAUAACGUUCGGAAACGGACGCUAAUACCGCAUACGUCCUACGGGAGAAAGCAGGGGACCUUCGGGCCUUGCGCUAUCAGAUGAGCCUAGGUCGGAUUAGCUAGUUGGUGAGGUAAUGGCUCACCAAGGCGACGAUCCGUAACUGGUCUGAGAGGAUGAUCAGUCACACUGGAACUGAGACACGGUCCAGACUCCUACGGGAGGCAGCAGUGGGGAAUAUUGGACAAUGGGCGAAAGCCUGAUCCAGCCAUGCCGCGUGUGUGAAGAAGGUCUUCGGAUUGUAAAGCACUUUAAGUUGGGAGGAAGGGCAUUAACCUAAUACGUUAGUGUUUUGACGUUACCGACAGAAUAAGCACCGGCUAACUCUGUGCCAGCAGCCGCGGUAAUACAGAGGGUGCAAGCGUUAAUCGGAAUUACUGGGCGUAAAGCGCGCGUAGGUGGUUUGUUAAGUUGGAUGUGA